Molecule: ribosomal RNA, 427 nt
Filed under: uncultured bacterium
Lineage: Bacteria
Description: bacterial SSU rRNA
Rfam family: Bacterial small subunit ribosomal RNA
Source: RNAcentral
UGGGGAAUCUUGCGCAAUGGGCGAAAGCCUGACGCAGCAACGCCGCGUGAGCGAAGAAGGCCUUCGGGUUGUAAAGCUCUGUCAGGGGGAAAGAAGGCACCUGGGUUAAUAGCCCAAGGGCUGACGGUACCCCCAGAGGAAGCCACGGCUAACUACGUGCCUGCAGCCGCGGUAAUACGUAGGUGGCGAGCGUUGUCCGGAAUCAUUGGGCGUAAAGAGCGCGUAGGUGGCUUGUCAGGUCCGAUGUGAAAACCUGGGGCUCAACCCCAGGCCUGCAUCGGAAACCGGCUUGCUAGAGUCUGGGAGAGGAGAGUGGAAUUCCUGGUGUAGCGGUGAAAUGCGUAGAUAUCAGGAGGAACACCGGUAGCGAAGGCGGCUCUCUGGAACAGUACUGACGCUGAGGCGCGAAAGCUAGGGGAGCGAACAG